AUACGUAGGGAGCGAGCGUUGUCCGGAAUUACUGGGUGUAAAGGGUGCGUAGGCGGGGCAGCAAGUCAGGCGUGAAAUACCGGGGCUCAACUCCGGGGCUGCGCUUGAAACUGUUGUUCUUGAGUGAAGUAGAGGUAAGCGGAAUUCCUAGUGUAGCGGUGAAAUGCGUAGAUAUUAGGAGGAACACCAGUGGCGAAGGCGGCUUACUGGGCUUUAACUGACGCUGAGGCACGAAAGCAUGGGGAGCAAACAGGAUUAGAUACCCUGGUAGUCCAUGCCGUAAACGAUGAUUGCUAGGUGUGGGGGGGACUGACCCCUUCCGUGCCGGAGUUAACACAAUAAGCAAUCCACCUGGGAAGUACGAUCGCAAGAUUGAA
This 377-nucleotide ribosomal RNA is filed under the name uncultured bacterium. RNAcentral describes it as "bacterial SSU rRNA". It matches the Rfam family "Bacterial small subunit ribosomal RNA", at positions 523 to 898 of the family's 1533-position model. The record is from RNAcentral.